Non-coding RNA from Pelobates cultripes (western spadefoot toad), 316 nucleotides. Lineage: Eukaryota; Metazoa; Chordata; Amphibia; Anura; Pelobatidae. The record is from the annotation of a GenBank genome assembly.
CAGAGGACAAAAGGGCCAGGAAAGUGCAUGGUGCAUAUGUUUGGAGCCUGCUUGUGGGAUUGCGUGUGUGUAGAGUGUGGUGUGAUAUUGUAUAAAUAGGUCAAUUUAAUUUGUGUUUGUGGUGUAAUAUGUGUGGCUAGGGACUGUAGAGAGUGUGUGUAUAGGGGGCAUAGUUUUAUAGGGGAUGCAGCGAGUGUGUUCAUACGGGCUGAAGUGUGUGUGUAUAGGUGACGUAGUGUGUGUAGGGGUUGCAGAGAGGGUGUGUUUAGAGAAUGUUGUAUGUGUUUGCUGACAAGGAGUGCAUACAGGGUAAGGG